This 89-nucleotide ribosomal RNA is filed under the name Clostridium perfringens. RNAcentral describes it as "partial 16S ribosomal RNA". The stretch from base 1 to 79 matches the Rfam family "Bacterial small subunit ribosomal RNA", at positions 1455 to 1533 of the family's 1533-position model. The record is from RNAcentral. Lineage: Bacteria; Bacillati; Bacillota; Clostridia; Eubacteriales; Clostridiaceae.
GCCGAAGGUAGGGUCAGCGAUUGGGGUGAAGUCGUAACAAGGUAGCCGUAGGAGAACCUGCGGCUGGAUCACCUCCUUUCUAAGGAAUA